UAUGGGGGGACCAUCCUCCAAGGCUAAAUACUCCUGACUGACCGAUAGUGAACCAGUACCGUGAGGGAAAGGCGAAAAGAACCCCUGUGAGGGGAGUGAAAUAGAACCUGAAACCGUGUACGUACAAGCAGUAGGAGCACCUUCGUGGUGUGACUGCGUACCUUUUGUAUAAUGGGUCAGCGACUUAUAUUCAGUGGCAAGGUUAACCAUCUAGGGGAGCCGUAGGGAAACCGAGUCUUAACUGGGCGCCAUAGUCUCUGGAUAUAGACCCGAAACCGAGUGAUCUAGCCAUGGGCAGGUUGAAGGUUGAGUAACAUCAACUGGAGGACCGAACCGACUAAUGUUGAAAAAUUAGCGGAUGACUUGUGGCUAGGGGUGAAAGGCCAAUCAAACUCGGAGAUAGCUGGUUCUCCCCGAAAGCUAUUUAGGUAGCGCCUCGGACGAAUACUACUGGGGGUAGAGCACUGUUAAGGCUAGGGGGUCAUCCCGACUUACCAACCCUUUGCAAACUCCGAAUACCAGUAAGUACUAUCCGGGAGACACACGGCGGGUGCUAACGUCCGUCGUGGAGAGGGAAACAACCCAGACCGCCAGCUAAGGUCCCAAAUUACAGCUAAGUGGGAAACGAUGUGGGAAGGCUUAGACAGCUAGGAUGUUGGCUUAGAAGCAGCCAUCAUUUAAAGAAAGCGUAAUAGCUCACUAGUCGAGUCGGCCUGCGC
Molecule: ribosomal RNA, 719 nt
Filed under: Vibrio vulnificus
Lineage: Bacteria; Pseudomonadati; Pseudomonadota; Gammaproteobacteria; Vibrionales; Vibrionaceae
Description: partial 23S ribosomal RNA
Rfam family: Bacterial large subunit ribosomal RNA
Source: RNAcentral